UUUCCGUAGGUGAACCUGCGGAAGGAUCAUUCAUAGUAAGUGUUUUAUGGCACUUUUUUAAAUCCAUAUCCACCUUGUGUGCAAUGUCAGGGUUGACUUUUCUCUCGAGAGGAUCAACCCCAAACAUCAACUAUAUCUCAACUCUUUGUCUGAAAAAUAUUAUGAAUAAAACAAUUCAAAAUACAACUUUCAACAACGGAUCUCUUGGCUCUC
RNAcentral lists this unclassified non-coding RNA (213 nucleotides) under plant metagenome. Its description in RNAcentral is "partial contains small subunit ribosomal RNA, internal transcribed spacer 1, and 5.8S ribosomal RNA". The record is from RNAcentral.